RNAcentral lists this ribosomal RNA (696 nucleotides) under Phlegmacium triumphale. RNAcentral's name for it is "eukaryotic LSU rRNA". The stretch from base 301 to 454 matches the Rfam family "5.8S ribosomal RNA". Lineage: Eukaryota; Fungi; Basidiomycota; Agaricomycetes; Agaricales; Cortinariaceae. The record is from RNAcentral.
CAUUUAGAGGAAGUAAAAGUCGUAACAAGGUUUCCGUAGGUGAACCUGCGGAAGGAUCAUUAUUGAAAUAAAUCUGAUGAGUUGCUGCUGGCUCUCUAGGGAGCAUGUGCACACUUGUCAUCUUUAUAUUUCCACCUGUGCACCUUUUGUAGACCUGGAUCUCUCUCUGAAUGCCUAGCCAGUCAGGUUUUGAGGAUUGACUUCACAGUCUCUCCUUACAUUUCCAGGUCUAUGUUCUACAUAGACCCCAAUGUAUGUUAUAGAAUGUAAUCAAUGGCCUUUGUGCCUAUAAACCUAUACAACUUUCAGCAACGGAUCUCUUGGCUCUCGCAUCGAUGAAGAACGCAGCGAAAUGCGAUAAGUAAUGUGAAUUGCAGAAUUCAGUGAAUCAUCGAAUCUUUGAACGCACCUUGCGCUCCUUGGUAUUCCGAGGAGCAUGCCUGUUUGAGUGUCAUUAAUAUAUCAACCUCUUCAGCUUUUGCUUGUUGAGCGUUGGAUGUGGGGGGUCUGUUUUGCUGGUCUUCUCAGGUCAGCUCCCCUUAAAUGUAUUAGCAGAACAAUUUGUUCAUUGGUGUGAUAACUAUCUAUGCCAUUGAUGCGGAGCAGUUCAGCUUCUAACAGUCCAUUUACUUGGGACAAAAUUUUGUUAAUGUGACCUCAAAUCAGGUAGGACUACCCGCUGAACUUAAGCAUAUC